UACGUAGGCAGCAAGCGUUGUUCGGAAUUACUGGGCGUAAAGAGUGUGUAGGCGGUGCUCUAAGUCUGUUGUGAAAUCUCCCGGCUUAACUGGGAGGGUGCGGCGGAGACUGGAGUGCUAGAGUGUGGGAGAGGUAAGCGGAAUUCCUGGUGUAGCGGUGAAAUGCGCAGAUAUCAGGAGGAACACCGAUUGCGAAGGCAGCUCGCUGGGACGUAACUGACGCUGAGGCGCGAAAGCGUGGGGAGCAAACAGG
This 253-nucleotide ribosomal RNA is filed under the name uncultured bacterium. RNAcentral describes it as "partial 16S ribosomal RNA". It matches the Rfam family "Bacterial small subunit ribosomal RNA", at positions 524 to 776 of the family's 1533-position model. The record is from RNAcentral.